GCCAAGCUAGGGACUGACCAUUAUUUGUAGACUACAGGGAGCCACUGGUGCAUUAAAGUAGCAGAGUGUGACAUGAAUGGGUCUGGAUUUUAGUAAGAUAAAGCUUGUGACAGUAUGAACGAUGGAUUUAAGGGGUGAGAAACUAUAAACAAGGAGACCAGUCAGAUACAAUAAUGCACAUAAGAAUGGGAAAUUAAUAAAAACUGUGGCAGCAGAUAUAAUAGAAGGGCACACAUUCAAAAGAUAAUCUAGAGUUAGAUGAACAUAGCAAUAGUAGUUAAAUUCAUAUGGUUUAUUUUUUGUCUGUGUCCUUCACUGUAUUAAGGACUCCAUGCACAUUACCAAUAAAUCUUCAUAGCAGCCCUAUGACAUGCACUCUACUUACUGUGCCUGUUUUACAGAUGGGGGAAGUGAAGAUUAGGGAAGUUAAACGGCUGGCUGAAGAUCACAUAGCUAGUAAUUAUGGAGCUGGGACUGAACCCAGGCCUAACUCAUUUGAGAGCAUAACAAAUACCUAAGAUAAACAGCUUCUAACUUGCCCAGAUGACCAUGGGAAAUGAGGAAAAAUUGGAAACUAAGGAUAACUAUGUUGUUCCUGGUCUGAGUGACGUGGGGAAUGAAGAUCUGAUUAUCAAGGUCCUGGGUUUAUCCUAAGGCUGUUUCACACCAAAGCUCUACAGGAAGGACACCAAGUAGCAAAAAAAUGCAUGUCAAAUGGGAGAAACAAAGUAGUUUUCCUUGGCUCUGUGUUAUGAGCUGGAUCUAAAUACUCCAGAAUCAAGGAAGCUAUAAUGCCUGCUCUUCUUCUAAAGCUCAAAGCCGAAUUUCAGAACUCACCUAAGAAUGAAACACAAAGCCUCUCAUGCCCACAUCAGACAUGAAGAGAGAUUGUGUCCUUCAAAGGCAAAAUCUGGAAGGAAAUUUGGGGCCAUCAGGAAUAACUCUCCAAAUCCCAAGAUCAGCAAGCCCAGUAAUAUUUUAUCAGUACAUCUGGACAUGAGCAGAAACCUCCAUCUACUAGUGUUUGACAACCGUGGAUGGAUGUACAGGCCGUCAAACAAAGGGAAGCUUUGCUGGGGUCAUCAGUGACAAAGGGAUGAAAUCUGAUAACAUGACAGAUUUUGUAAUUCUGACAAACAAGGAACUUACGAAGUCAGUAGAAGGAAGGCAAAUGGGAACAGAGAUCACUCCGGCCUCCACUUUGAUCAUUCUGUAAAUAUUUUGGUCUGUGUUUCAUGUGUUAGAUUCUCUCUAUACCCAGAAGGCAAGAAG
Molecule: long non-coding RNA, 1272 nt
Filed under: Heterocephalus glaber (naked mole-rat)
Lineage: Eukaryota; Metazoa; Chordata; Mammalia; Rodentia; Bathyergidae
Description: lncRNA (ENSHGLG00000033061.1)
Source: RNAcentral